This 252-nucleotide ribosomal RNA is filed under the name uncultured Bacteroidales bacterium. RNAcentral describes it as "partial 16S ribosomal RNA". It matches the Rfam family "Bacterial small subunit ribosomal RNA", at positions 524 to 776 of the family's 1533-position model. The record is from RNAcentral. Lineage: Bacteria; Pseudomonadati; Bacteroidota; Bacteroidia; Bacteroidales.
UACGGAGGAUGCGAGCGUUAUCCGGAUUUAUUGGGUUUAAAGGGUGCGCAGGCGGUCUGUUAAGUCAGCGGUCAAAGCCCGGGGCUCAACCCCUUUAAGCCGUUGAAACUGGUGAUCUUGAGUGGGCGAGAAGUAUGCGGAAUGCGUGGUGUAGCGGUGAAAUGCAUAGAUAUCACGCAGAACUCCGAUUGCGAAGGCAGCAUACCGGCGCUCAACUGACGCUCAUGCACGAAAGUGUGGGUAUCGAACAGG